GGAAGAAACUAGAAAGAAACGCGAGAGAGAGAGAGAGAGAGACAGAGAGAGAGGGGGAAGGAAAUGGAGAGAAGAGAAAGUCCAGAGACAAGAAGAGAGGAAAUCGAUCACGGAAGAGACUGUCUUCCGUCGUCUACGCCGGUCGUCGGCCGGCGGCCAUAAGAAAGUCCGUCGUCCCUAAUCAUCCGUUUUAGAAGAAGAUCGAGAGAAAGGAGAAAAACCAACGCUUUGCCCGGCCUUCGUUCUGCUCUGCUCUGCUCUGCCCACCGGACCCCUGAUAUCAACUAUGUCGAUGCAUUGUUAUUUCACUUGCCAUCCAUUGCUGUUUGAACCUUGCCGAGCUUAAUAUUUUAUUUCCUUCCUAUGUGAGGACUUUGAGCCUAGAGCAUUCGAUAUUUAUAUAUAUAUUUUUUUCAUGUGUGAUGUUAGAUCUAAAUUGGCAUUCUAGAACUUGCCUCGAAAUGCAUGUUGAACACACAUGAGGACCUGAUAUAAGUAAGAUGACGGGGGCAUUAGGUAUACCUACUUGGCUUAAAUUAUCCUACCCAAAAAUUUUAUCCACUAGUUAACACCGUUGAGCCUUUUGAAAACCUUUUCAUUCUUCAAUCAAUCAUUAAUCCUUUAGCCAUAUACCAUUUUUUGGAUUUAUACCUUAUAUUGAUCCUUGUGUCGAAGGAAGAGUGGAAGUUUUAUGGCUAUCAUUUAUAUUCUUCUUGUAUAAAGUGUAGAAAGGGAAAGUAUAGUGUUGUUGAUGUUUACAAAAAGGAAAAUAAAACAAAGGGGCUAAACCCCAACAAAACAAAACAAAAAAAAAAAAAAGCAAAACAAAAAACAAAGUGCUGAAACAAGAAAACAAAAAGAAGCAGCACAAAAAAGUAAAAAAAAAAAAAAAACAAAAAGAAACAAAAAUGAGUGGAGUUACGGUUACCAAUGUAAUGUUGAUUUCAAUUCUUACAAGUGAUAUGCUUUAAUUCUUUCCAUUGUUGUUUCGACACUUUUUAGCCGUUCAUUAUCCUUUUUUCUACCUAUACCCCGAGCCCCAUUACACCUGUUUAAAGACCCCCUGAUACUUGUCAUUAGGUCCCUUAAGUGAGGGAGAUAUGAUUGACAUGCAAGCCUAUGGGAUUGCCAUUUUUAUGAUUUAACUUGAGUGCAUACACUAACCCAUGGUGAGGUUUGUUGAGCUCAGCUUGGUUCACUCAUUAUUAUUAUCCAUUUAGCUGUGAUGCCGGGUGAAAGAUUGGAGUGCAUUGGUCAAGUACCACAAUGGAAAUGCAGUGCCUACUCAAAGAAAUGAACAAAAAGACGGAGAGAAAAAAAAAAAUCAGAAAAAAAAGAACUGAAAAAAAGGAAGAAAAUAAAAAAGAGAAAAAAGAAAAAGAAAAGCAAAAAAAGAAAGUCAGUGCAGAUGUCGAACCUGUUGGUGGCUGUGAAAGAAAACAUGAAAACAAAGAAGCAAAGGAACUCAUUAGGUCAAAACAUCCUAUGUCGGCCUUCAUCUACUCACACGAGUGCCAAGCUGCAUUAAUUGUAGAAAAUAAGAACAUUGUGGAGGUUUUGAAGACCUUCGGUGAGGGUUGGACAUGCAAUACUUACCCAAAAAAAGUAAAAUAAAUAAAAGAACAAAAGAAAAAAAAAAAUGAAACAAAAGAGAAAGCCAAUCCAAAUGCUCACUUCAUAGAGAUGUCGAACUUUUUUGGGGCAAAAUGGAAGACAAUUAAUGAAGUCGUGAAGGAAAACAAGAAAACUAAAUAGCAAGGAAAAGGACAUAUUAAAGCCAAAACAUCCUAUGUCAUGUCUCUAUCUACUUGAACAAACGGUGAACUACAUUGAUUGAAGAGAAUAAGAACAUUAUUGAGAUUGUGUCGGUGAAGAAAGGACAUGAAGAAUGUGCUUAAUAGUACGGUCUGGCUAUUCUUUUGAAGUUGAGAAGAGAUAUUCAUCCUCUUUUGGAUGCCAAAGCUGAAAAGGUAAGUGUUUGGGCAGGAUGUAGUCUAUCGUUGGCUUAAUUACAUCUCAUUAAUAUUUUCUUUAUAAUGCAACACCACAAUGGACAUACAGUGCCUACCCAGAAAAACGAAAAGAAAAAAGAAAGAAAGAAAAAAAAAAUCUGAAAAAAAAAAGUUAAAAAAAGCAUAAAUGAAAAAAAAAUAGAGAAAAAAGAAAAAGAAAGAUAAAAAGCAUAAAAGUUAAAAAAAAAAAAAAAAAAAGAAAGCUAUGAAAGAAAAAAAGAAAAAAAAGGUGGGUAUACAUGAAUUUGUUUACUUUUACUAAAUCCUAUUGGUUGUUAGUUUGUUAUACAAUCAUAUAUGGUUCUUCUACAGAGAAGGACCCAUUACGGCCGAAACAUCCCAUGUUGGCCUUCAUCUACUCGAACAAGUGCCGAGCUACAUUGAUUUUAGAGAAUAAGAACAUUGUGGAGGUUUUGAAGACCGGCAGUGAGGGGUGGACAUGCAAUACUUACCCAAGGAAAGUAAAAUAAGUAAAAAAGAAGAAAAGAUGAAACAGAAAAGAAAGCCAAUCCAAAUGCUCACUUCAAAGAGAUGUCGAACUUGUUGGGGGCAAAAUGGAAGACAAUUAGUGAAAUCGUGAAAGAAAACAAGAAAACUAAAAUAGGAUGGAAAAGGACAUAUUAAAGCCAAAACAUCCUAUGUCAGGACUCCAUCUACUCGAACAAGCGGUGAGCUACAUUGAUUGAAGAGAAUAAGAACAUUGUUGAGAUUGUGCCAUUGAAGAAAGGACAUGAAGAAUGUGCUUAAAAGUACGGUAUGGCUAUUUUUUUGAAGUUGAGAAAAGAUAUUUUAUCCUCUUUUGGAUGCCGAAGCUUUUUGGGCAGGGGAUGGUAUAUCCUUGGCUUAAUUACACCUCAUUAAUGUUUUCUUUAUAAUGCAGCACCACAAUGGACAUGCGGUGCCUACCCAAAAAAACGAAAAGAAAAAAAAAAAUUCUGAAUAAAAAAAAUAGUUAAAAAAAAAAAGAAAUGAAAAGAAACAGAAAAAAGAAAAAGAAAAGAAAAAAGCAAAAAAAAUUGAAGAAACAGAAAGAGAAAAAAACAAAAGAAUAGAAAAAAAAGAAAGUUGUAAAAGAAAACAAGUGUCGAGCUACAUUGAUUUUAGAGAAUAAGAACUUUGUGGAGAAAGGAAAAAUACCCGUUAAAGCCGAAACGUCCUAUCUCAGCCUUCUUCUACUCAAACAAGUGGCGAGCUAUAUUGAUCGAAGAGAAUAAGAACAUUGUCGAGAUUGUGAAGAUGUGAGGGAUGGACAUGAAGAAUAUGCUUCAAAAGUAUGGUUUUGCUACUUUGUUGAAGUUGAGAAGAGAUAUUCAUCCUCUUUUGGAUGCCAAAGCUAAAAAGGUAAGUGUUUGGGCGAGAGAUGGUUUAUCGUUGGCCUUAUUUUGUGUUACAGUUUGCAAGUUUGUGCUUUUUUUUGUUGUUGUUCUUACUGUAUUAUUUUGCAAAGAGAUCAAUAAAAAAGGUUGAGAAAAAGAAAAGAAAAAAAAAAGAAAAGAAAAGAGCUGGAAAAGGGGAAAAUUUUUUGAAAAAAACGGAAACAAAGAUGAAAAAAUUAAGGAAAAAAAAAUGAAAAAUGAAAAAAAAAAGAGAAAGAGAAGAAAAAAAUUGAAAAAAAAGCCAAUCAGAUGUUGACCUUAAGGAGAUGUUGAACCUGCUGGUGGCAAAAUGGAAAACAAGUCGCGAAAGAGAACAAGAAAACAAAGUAGGAAGAAAAAGAACUCAUUAAGCAGGAACAUCCUAUAUCACACUGAUUUCAGAGAACAAGAAUAUUUUGGAGUUGAAAAAUAGGUUGUAAAGACAGCUGGUGAGGUUGGACAUGCAGGACUUACGCAAGGAAAAAAAAAACGAAAAAAGAAGAACUACAAAGAGAGAAGGGUCAAUGCUGAAAUGUUGCGCACUUAUGCUAUUGACCUGCUGACUGCAUGCUUGGAGAAUGGUGGUCAGUUAGUGGAAGAUGUGUUGACAUAAUGUGAUAUCUACGAGUACGGUUAACACAAACCAAAAGCUUCUAAGGUAUUGUUUGACAACAAAAGUGUGUCUAGCAUGGCUCUAAAGGCCAAAGAGGAUGGCAGGGGUAAGUCAAAGCAAGUGACAGAGAGUUUUCACAUGGAUACUGAGACUAUCAGAGCCCAUCCCACUGAGAGUGAACGUGAAAAAGAUCGCACAUCUAUGGACAACCUUGAUUGAGAUGAUGAGAGGUGUGGCAAUAGGCAAACAUAUGGGGAUAUGUACUGGGGUGAUGAGGAACAUCUUGAUAGUGUAGCUCCUGAGGUUGAUGCAUAUGAUGCUGAAGCAGAUAGUGACGAGAAGUGGGAUCUCUGCCAGUCAAAAGAAAAACCUGGUGGAAAAUCUCAUGGGGAAGAAGACUUUGAAGGAGUAUCGAUGGCGAUCAAGAGGUAGGUCCAAUGAAGGAGUUUCUGAGACAUUACUGAGUUGGUUAUGAAAGCAGUCGGAGCUGCUGAGCCGAAGCAAGAACAGACCAUGCACCUGCCUGUGCCAUUAAGGCUGCAGGUGCUGCUGCUGCUGAGGUCGUUAAGACAGCUGAUUAGAGUGCAGGAAUACAAGAAGACGAAUGACGAAGAAGCUAUUGUGGUUGCUGCAUCCAGAUCUUCAUCACACUGUUAUGGAUGCUGCCAGUGCAGUUGCUCUUGCAAGAAUUCAAAGCCAUGAAUUUGCUGAAUUUUCUAUUCCUGGUGGUCAUUCCCUUCUGAAGUUGAGAGAGAAAUUCUGUAUCCAGUGUCUGGUGUUUCUUGGGGAGUAUGUUGAAGUUCUUGGUUCUGUACUCCAUGAGAAGGAGUAAAUGUAUGCCUUGCACUACUGCAGCGAAGUCUUAAGCUCGAAGAAACACCCUACACUAAAUUCCUUAUGAAUGAACUUUGAAGCUAAUAUGUGCAUUGGCUGCUCACAGAAAGUUUUCUGCAUUGUUUGUUGAUUGCGGUGGCAUGGACAGACUCCUUGCGACUCCUAGAAAUGCCCAUACAUAUGUGGGUCUUUCUUCCUGCUUAUGAACUAUUGGUUCAAUUCAGGUGAUAAUGAAGUGUGUUUGUUCUCUUCCGCCAAAUAUUGUCCAUCAGAUUGUUAAGUUGGCUGGAACUGCGACAAUAAAUCAGGGCACAUCUCCUCUUGCUUGUGGAGUCUAUUCAACCUAACGAUGGUGAUGGCUAUGAUGAACCUGAGAUUGUUGAACCAGCAUUGAAUUUGUUAAUAAAUCUUGUGUGCCAUCCUUCAUCAAUAAGCAAUAAGCCAAGUCUCAUGCAAGGUCAGCAAUACGGAAAUCAAUCUGCUAUAAACUCCAGGGACAAAUUCAGAGAGGAAUUUCCCAGAGCGUGGUCUAAAUCAGAAUGAAUCAAGGGUUCGAACUGGGGAACUGACACCUAUGCCAUCAUCUGUUGGUAACACUUCAUCAUAACAGGAAUCUGCUUCAUUAGUUGCUUCUGGUUUAGUUGGAGAUCGCAGGAUUUCGUGCUUGGCUUGGUGCUCAGCUUGAACAAGGAUAUCGUCAAGCUAGAGAAGCUGUUCGUGUAAAGCAUGCUUCUUCAGCUUCUCCAACCUCGAAUGGUGACAUCCCCUGCAGCUCUUGAUUGUCUUCGUGCUCUUACAUGCCGAGUACUUUAGCAGCUAGUGAUGCGGCGACUCCCACUUUGAGACCAUUGAAAGAGGAGCAGCCAUUGCUGCUGCUACUCCAGUUUCUUAUCAUUCUAGGGCUUAUCCAUGAGCACCUUCAAUUAUCUGGAUUAGUUUAUCACCAAUGCCAUCCUUGGAUGCUCCAUCAUCUUUAGCACAACACGCAUCUGGGCAGGAGUUGUCAUCAAUACAAAUAGAAUGGCCAUCUGAAAUAGCAACUUGUGGAUUCUUGUUGGAUAGACCAAACUGGUGAACAUACACUCAGACCAUAUGGAUUCGAACUUGUUAUGCACACCAUCUGUUGAGAGUUUGCUAACCAGUCCGACCUAUUUAUCCUCAUGUCUGCCCUGAGCCAAGCAUUCAAUGUUUGCAUCACUGCCAUCAGAUUCAUCCCGGCGUUAAAUCCUUGUGUAUGAUGAUAUCCAGUCUUGUCAAUUGGAUCUGACACUGACUGAUACUUCUAAUAACCCGUCUGGACAUGAUCAUGGAUGUGAUCAUUCAUAUUGACUCAAUGCUGCUUUGGAAUGGAGUUUUGUGGGAUCGAAAGACCAAUUCAUCAAUUUUAUCAAUUUACUGCCUAUGAUGGUGGGGGCUACCAUUCUGCUGGGAAUGAGAUUGUUGAACCAGCGUUGAAUUUGUUAAUAAACCUUGUGUGCCCUCCUUCAUGAAUAAGCAAUAAGCCAAGUCUCAUGUAAGGUCAGCAAGCUUCUUCUACCCAAGCUGGAAUCAAUCUGCUAUAAACUCCAGGGACAGAAAUUCAGAGAGGAAUGUCCCAGAGGUGGUCCAAAUCAGAAUGAAUCAAGGGAUCAAACUGGGGAACUGACACCUAUGCCAUCAUCUGUUGGUAACACUUCAUCAUCACAGGCAUCUGCUUCAUUAGUUGCUUCUGGUUUAGUUGGAGAUCGCAGGAUUUCAUGCUUGGACAAGGAUAUCGUAAAGCUAGAGAAGCGUUCGUUCAAGGCAUGGUAUAAAGGUUCUUCAGCUUCUCCAACCUCGAAUGGUGACAUCCCCUGCAGCUCUUGAUUGUCUUCGUGCUCUUACAUGCCGAGUGCUUUUAGGUUGAUGCUAUUGCAAUAUUGACCGCACUUCAGGUUGAGAAAAGUUAUCAGAGCUCAUCCGAGUGGGAGCCAAACUGCCAGUGGUGACCAAAAUAGGUGGCAGGCCGAAUUAACUCAAGUGAGCUUAUUGGUAUGCGCUCUAAUUUCUUCAUGACAAGCAUCAUUAGAUCAGACGGUCGGUGAUAACAUUUAAUGCCAGUGGUGAUGUUAUAUAUGCAAUCCUCGGGCGAAAUCUAGAGGAUGUCACUUCAGCAUUCAAUGCACGCCGUGUGAAGCACCCUCUCUUUUCUGCUUUUUGCAUUGUGGAUGCUGUCAACUAUUCGGAUAUUACAAAAGUUCCCGUGGAUCCAUGGUGUAGUUGCUAAAUUAUUCCUAGACUCUCUCCAGCAGAAAAAAGAAGACAAAUAUAUUAUUCACACUCAUGAUUUACGAAUAUCCUCUACAUGUGGAUGCAGCAGCAAAUUGUGAAGUUAUAUCACUUUGCAUUGAAUAGAAUUGGUGCAUGCGAGUGUGGUCCGAAUCAGAUUGAAUCAAGGGACCGAACUGGGGAACUGAUGCCAUCUUCUGUUGGUCAUCAUCACAGGCAUCUGCUAGUUGCUUCUGGAUUUUAGUUGGAGAUUUAGGUGCUCGAGCAGGUUGUGCUGGGCUGGUUCGAAUGGUGACAUCCCCUGCAGCUCUUGAUUGUCUUCGUGCUCUUACAUGCCGAGUACUUUAGCAGCUAGUGAUGCAGCGACUCCCACUUUGAGACCAUUGAAAGAGGAGCAGCCAUUGCUGCUGCUACUCCAGUUUCUUAUCAUUCUAGGGCUUAUCCAUGAGCACCUUUAAUUAUCUGGAUUAGGUUAUCACCAAUGCCAUCCUUGGCUGCUCCAUCAUCUUUAGCACAACACGCAUCUGGGCAGGAGUUGUCAUCAGUACAAAUGCAAUGGCCAUUCCAGCUUGAGAAGCUUAUCCAUGAGCAUCUGGAUUAGGUGAGACUGCAUCCUUGCUAAGUUAUCACCAUUGGCUGCUCCAUCAUCUUUAGCACAACACGCAUCUGGGCAGGAGUUGUCAUCAAUACAAAUGCAAUGGCCAUCUGAAUGAGCAACUUGUGGAUUCUUGUUGGAUAGACCAAACGUAUUCCAGCUUGAGAAGUGAGCCUUGCACUUUGUCCUCAAAGAAGAAACCAAGAUUGUUGAACCAGCGUUGAAUUUGUGCCGAAUAAGCAAUAAGCCAAGUCUAAUGCAAGGUCAGCAAGCUUCUUCUACUCAAGCUGGAAAUCAAUCUGCUAUAAACUCCAGGGACAGAAAUUCAGAGAGGAAUGUCCCAGAGCGUGGUCCAAAUCAGAAUGAAUCAAGGGAUCAAACUGGGGAACUGACACCUAUGCCAUCAUCUGUUGGUAACACUUCAUCAUCACAGGUAACACUUCAUCAUCACAGGCAUCUGCUUCAUUAGUUGCUUCUGGUUUAGUUGGAGAUCGCAGGAUCUCGUGCUUGGACAAGGAUAUCGUCAAGCUAGAGAAGCUGUUCGUUCCAGGCAUGGUAUAAUGGUUCUUCUUCCGCUUCUCCAACCUCGAAUGGUGACAUCCCCUGCAGCUCUUGAUUGUCUUCGUGCUCUUACAUGCCCGAGUGCUUUUAGGUUGAUGCUAUUGCACAUAUAUUGACCGAACUUCAGGUGGAUUCGAACAUAUACUGAAAGCGAGGAAGACGAUGAUGAUAAUGACAGUGAGGUUCUUGAAUCUUUCAGCAGUGACUAUCUUCUGUGAUCGAUCCUUCUUAAAGCUGCAAUCCUACAGCUGAAGAUGCUCACACUUUUACGAUAAACCUCAUGAGAAUUGGUUGAAUCAAGAACGACAUCGUGAGGGGCAAGGCUAAUAAACCAAACCCGAUGAAAAUUGGUAUGUAACUUUCUUUCAUUUUGUUGAGAUUAAAUUGAUGCCUGAUAUCAAAUUGAUGUAUUUUCACUCUGGUGAGGUUGAAUCAAGAACAAUCAUGAUAAGAAUUGGUACGUAACUUUCUUUUAUUUUGUUGAAACUCAAUAGUAUUAUAAUUUUUUCAUUUUGAUUGGAUCAAACUGAUGUGUUUUCUCUCUAUUGAGGUUGAAUCAAAAACAUCAUCGUGAGUAGAGGGAAGGAUUAGAGGCCAAAUCCGACAAGAAUUGGUUGAAUCAAGAACAACAUUGUGAUGUUAAAUGGGCAAGGCAUACGGACCAAUCAUGAUAAGAAUUGGUUGAAUCAAGAACAACAUCAUGAGUAGAGGGAAAUAUUAGAGGCCAAAUCCGACAAGAAUUGGUUGAAUCAAGAACAAAAUUGUGAUGUUAAAAGGGCAAGGCAUACAGACCAAUUAUGAUAAGAAUUGGUUGAAUCAAGAACAACAUUUGUGAUGUUAAAGGGGCAAGGCAUACGGACAAAUCAUGAUAAGAAUCGGUUGAAUCAAGAACAACAUCGUGAGUAGAGGAAAGGAUUAGAAGCCAAAUCCGACAAGAAUUGCACGAGAGAGAGAGAGACGGAUGGAAAUGGGAGAGAAGAGAAAGUCCAGAGACAAGAAGAGCGGAAAUCGAUCAUGGAAGAGACUGUCUUCCGUCGUCUACGCCGGUCGUCGGCCGGCGGCCAUAAGAAAGUCCGUCGUCCCUAGUCAUCCGUUUUAGAAGAAGAUCCAGAGAAAGGAGAAAAACCAACGCUUUACCCGGCCUUCGUUCGUUCUGCUCUGCUCUGCUCUGCCCACCGGACCCCUGAUAUCAACUAUGUCGAUGCAUUGUUAUUUCACUUGCCAUCCAUUGAUGUUUGAACCUUGCCGAGCUUAAUAUUUUAUUUCCUUCCUAUGUGAGGACUUUGAGCCUAGAGCAGUCAAUAUUUAUAUAUUUUUUUUCAUGUGUGAUGUUAGAUCUAAAUUGGCAUUCUAGAACUUGCCUCGAAAUGCAUGUUGAACACACAUAAGGACCUGAUAUAAGUAAGAUGACGGGGGCAUUAGGUAUACCCACUUGGCUUAAAUUAUCCUACCCAAAAAUUUUAUCCACUAGUUAACACUGUUGAGCCUUUUGAAAACCUUUUCAUUCUUCAAUUAAUCAUUAAUCCUUUAGCCAUAUACCAUUUUUUGGAUUUAUACCUUAUAUUGAUCCUUGUGUCGAAGGAAGAGUGGAAGUUUUAUGGCUAUCAUUUAUAUUCUUCUUGUAUAAAAUGUAGAAAGGGAAAGUAUAGUGUUGUUGAUGUUUACAAAAAAGAAAAUAAAACAAAGGGGCUAGACCCCAACAAAACAAAAAAAAAAAAAAAAAGUGCUGAAACAAGAAAACAAAAAGAAGCAGCACAAAAAAGUAAAAAAAAAAACAAAAAGAAACAAAAAUGAGUGGAGUUAUGGUUACCAAUGUAAUGUUGAUUUCAGUUCUUACAAGUGAUAUGCUUUAAUUCUUUCCAUUGUUGUUUCGACACUUUUUAGCCGUUCAUUAUCUUUUUUCUACCUAUACCCCGAGCCCCAUUACACCUGUUUAAAGACCUCCUGAUACUUGUCAUUAGGUCCCUUAAGUGAGGGAGAUAUGAUUGACAUGCAAGCCCAUGGGAUUGUCAUUUUUAUGAUUUAACUUGAGUGCAUACACUAACCCAUGGUGAGGUUUGUUGAGCUCAGCUUGGUUCACUCAUUAUUAUUAUUAUCCAUUUAGCUGUGAUGCCGGGUGAAAGAUUGGAGUGCAUUGUUCAAGUACCACAAUGGAAAUGCAGUGCCUACUCAAAUAAAUGAACAAAAAGACCGGAGAGAAAAAAAAUCAGAAAAAAAAAAGAAAUGAAACAAAUGAAAAAAAAAAUAAAAUAAAAAAGAACAAAGAAACAGAGAGAAAAAAAAAAAGUCAAUCAAAGUGCAAAUGUCGAACCUGUGAAAGAAAACAUGAAAACAAAGAAGCAAAGGAACUCAUUAGGUCAAAACAUCCAAUGUCGGCCUUCAUCUACUCACACAAGUGCCAAGCUGCGUUAAUUGUAAAAAAUAAGAACAUUGUGGAGGUAUUGAAGACCGUCGGCGAGGGUUGGACAUGCAAUACUUACCCAAAGAAUGUUAAAUAAAUAAAAGAAGAAGAGAAAAAGAAAUGAAACGAAAAAUAAAGCCAAUCCAAAUGCUCACUUCAUAGAGAUGUCAAACUUGUUGGGGGCAAAAUGGAAGACAAUUAAUGAAGUCGUGAAGGAAAACAAGAAAACUAAAUAGCAAGGAAAACGACAUAUUAAAGCCAAAACAUCCUAUGUCAUGUCUCUAUCUACUCAAACAAACGGUGAGCUACAUUGAUUGAAGAGAAUAAGAACAUUGUUGAGAUUGUGUCGGUGAGGAAAGGACAUGAAGAAUGUGCUUCAAAAGUACGGUCUGGCUAUUCUUUUGAAGUUCAGAAGAGAUAUUCAUCCUCUUUUGGAUGCCAAAGCUGAAAAGGUAAGUGUUUGGGCAGGAUAUAGUCUAUCGUUGGCUUAAUUACAUCUCAUUAAUGUUUUCUUUAUAAUGCACCACCACAAUGGACAUGCAGUGCCUAUCCAAAAAAAAUGAAAAGAAAAAAGAAAAAAGAAAGAAAGAAAAAAAAAUCUGAAAAAAAAAGACGAUUAAAGAAAGCAGAAAAAAAAAAGAAAACAGAGAAAAAAGAAAAAGAAAGAUAAAAAGCAAAGAAGUUAAAAAAAAAAGCAAAAAAGAAAAAAGCUAUGAAAGAAAACAAGAAAAAAAGGUAAGUAUAUAUGAAUUUGUUUAGUUUUACUAAAUCCUAUUGGUUGUUAGAUUGUUAUAUAAUCAUAUAUGGUUGUUCUACACAGAUAGGAAGGUAAAGGACCAAUUACGGCCGAAACAUCCUAUGUUGGCCUUCAUCUACUCGAACAAGUGCCGAGCUACAUUGAUUUUAGAGAAUAAGAACAUUGUGGAGGUUUUGAAGACCGGCAGUGAGGGAUGGACAUGCAAUACCUACCCAAAAGAGAGUAAAAUAAAUAAAUAAAUAAAAGAGAAAAAAAGAUAAAACAGAAAAGAAGGCCAAUCCAAAUGCUCACUUCAAAGAGAUGCCAAACUUGUUGGGGGCAAAAUGGAAGACAAUUAGCGAAGUCGUGAAAGAAAACAAAAUGGGAAGGAAAAGGACAUAUUAAAGCCAAAACAUCCUAUGUCAGGCCUCCAUCUACUCGAAACAGCGUUAAGCUACAUUGACGGAAGAGAAUAACAACAUUGUUGAGAUUGUGAAUACUGCCGGUGAGGGAUGGACAUGAAGAAUGUGCUUCAAAAGUAUGGUGUGGCUACUUUUUUGAAGUUGAGAAGAGAGAUUCAUCCUCUUUUGGAUGCCAAAGCUGUUUGGGCAAGAGAUGGUAUAUCGUUGGCUUAAUUACAUCUCAUUAGUGUUUUCUUUAUAAUGCAGCACCACAAUGGACAUGCAGUGGCUACCCAAAAAAUGAAAAGAAAAAAAAAGUAAAGGAAAAAAAAAUCUGAAAAAAAAGGUUAAAAAAAAAAAGAAAUUAAAAAAACAGAAAAAAGAAAAGAACAGGAAAAACGCAAAAAAAUUGAAAAAAAAGAAAGCUGUGAAAGAAAACAGGAAAAAAAAAAGUAAGUAUAUAUGGAUUUGUUUAGUUUUACUAAAUCCUAUUGGUUGUUCGUUUGUUAUAUACUCGUAUAUGGUUCUUCUACACAGAUAGGAAGGUAAAGGACCCACUACGGCCGAAACAUCCUAUGUUGGCCUUCAUCUACUCGAACAAGUGCCGAGCUACAUUGAUUUUAGAGAAUAAGAACAUUGUGGAGGUUUUGAAGACCGGCGGUGAGGGGUGGACAUGCAAUACUUACCCAACGAAAGUAAAACAAAUAAAAAAAAAAGGAAAAAAGAUGAAACAAAAAAGAAAGCCAUUCAAAAUGCAUACUUCAAAGAGAUGUCGAACUUGUUGUGGGCAAAAUGGAAGACAAUUAGUGAAGUCGUGAAAGAAAACAAGAAAACUAAAUAGGAAGGAAAAGGAAAUAUUAAAGCCAAAACAUCCUAUAGCAGGCCUCCAUCUACUCGAAAAAUCGCUGAGCUACAUUGAUUGAAGAGAAUAAGAACAUUGUUGAGAUUGUGAAGACUACAGGUGAGGGAUGGACACGAAGACUAUGCUUCAAAAGUACGGUUUGGCUACUUUUUUGAAGUUGAGAAGAGAUAUUCAUCCUCUUUUGGAUGCCAAAGAUGAAGAGCACCACAAUGGACAUGCAGUGCGUACCAAAAAAGACGAAAAGAAAAACGAAAGAAAAAAAAAUCUGAAAAAAAAAUGGUUAAAAAAAAAACAGAAAUGAAAAAACAGAGGAAAAAAAAAGAAAGAGAAAAAAGGAAAAAAAUUGAAAAAAAAAAGAAAGCCGUGAAAGAAAAUAAGAAAAAGAAGAAGGAAAAGGACCAAUUACGGCCGAAACAUCCUAUGGCGGCCUUCAUCUACUCGAACAAGUGCCGAGCUACGUUGAUUUUAGAGAAUAAGAAUUUUUUGGUGGAAGGAAAAAGACCCAUUAAAGCCGAAACAUCCUAUCUCAGCUUUCUUUUACUCGAAGAAGUGGCGAGCUAUAUUGAUUGAAGAGAAUAAGAACAUUGUUGAGAUUGUGAAGACGUGAGGGAUGGACAUGAAGAAUAUGCUUCAAAAGUAUGGUUUUGCUACUUUGUUGAAGUUAAGAAGAGAUAUCCAUCCUCUUUUGAAUGCCAAAGCUAAAAAGGUAAGUGUUUGGGCGAGAGAUGGUUUAUCGUUGGCUUUAUUUUGUGUUACAGUUUGCAAGUUUGUGCUUUUUUUUGUUGCUGUUCUUACUGUAUUAUUUUGCAAAGAAAUCAAGAAAAAAGGUUGAAAAAAAAAAAAAAAGCUGGAAAAGGGGUAAAAAAUUUGAAAAAAAUGGAAACAAAGAUGAAAAAAUUAAAAAAAAACAAAUGAAAAAAAAAGAGAAAAAAUGAAAAAGAAAAAAAAAAGGGAGAAAAGAAAAAAACUGAAAAAAAGCCAAUUGGAUGUUGACCUCAAGGAGAUGUUGAACCUGCGUGCGGCAAAAUGGAAGACAAGUCGCGAAAGAGAACAAGAAAACAAAGAAGAAAAAGAACUCAUUAAGCAGGAACAUCCUAUAUCACACUGAUUACAGAGAACAAGAAUAUUUUGGAGGUUGUAAAGACGGCUGGUGAGGGUUGGACAUGCAGGACUUACCCAAGGAGAAAAAAAAAAAAUGAAAAAAAAAGAACUACAAAGAGAGAAGGAAAGGGUCAGAUGCUGAAAUGUUGCGCACUUAUGCUACUGGCCUGCUGACUGCAUGCUUGGAGAAUUAGUGGAAGAUGUGUUGACAUAAUGUGAUAUCUACGAGUACGGUUAACACAAACCAAAAGCUUCUAAGGUAUUGUUUGACAACAAAUGUGUGUCUAGCAUGGCUCUAAAGGCCAAAGAGGAUGGCAGGGGUAAGUCAAAGCAAGUGACAGAGAGUUUUCACAUGGAUACUGAGACUAUCAGAGCCCAUCCCACUGAGAGUGAACGUGAAAAAGAUCCCACAUCUAUGGACAACCUUGAUUGAGAUGAUGAGAGGUGUGGCAAUAGGCAAACAUAUGGGGAUAUGUACUGGGGUGAUGAGGAACAUCUUGAUAGUGUAGCUACUGAGGUUGAUGCAUAUGAUGCUGAAGCAGAUAGUGACGAGAAGUGGGAUCUCUGCCAGUCAAAAGAGAAACCUGGUGGAAAAUCUCAUGGGGAAGAAGACUUUGAAGGAGUAUCGAUCGCGAUCAAGAGGUAGGUCCAAUGAAGGAGUUUCUGAGACAUUACUGAGUUGGUUAUGAAAGCAGUCGGAGCUGCUGAGCGAAGAAAGAACAGACCAUGCACCUGCCUGUGCCAUUAAGGCUGCAGGUGCUGCUGCUGCUGAGGUCGUUAAGACAGCUGAUUAGAGGAAUACAAGAAGACGAAUGAUGAAGAAGCUAUUGUGGUUGCUGCAUCCAGAUCUUCAUCCCACUGUUAUGGAUGCUGCCAGUGCAGUUGCUCUUGCAAGGUGGUCAUUCCCUUCUGAAGUUGAGAGAGAAAUUCUGUAUCCAGUGUCUUGUGUUUCUUGGGGAGUAUGUUGAAGUUCUUGGUUCUGUACUCCAUGAGAAGGAGUAAAUGUAUGCCUUGCACUACUGCAGCGAAGUCUUAUGCUCGAAGAAACACCCUACACUAAAUUCCUUAUGAAUGAACUUUGAAGCUAAUAUGUGCAUUGGCUGCUCGCAGAAAGUUUUCUGCAUUGUUUGUUGAUUGCGGUGGCAUGGACAGACUCCUUGCGACUCCUAGAAAUGCCCAUACAUAUGUGGGUCUUUCUUCCUGCUUAUGAACUAUUGGGUCAAUUCAGUUGAUAAUGAAGCGUGUUUGUUCUCUUCCGCCAAAUAUUGUCCAUCAGAUUGUUAAGUUGGCUGGAACUGUGACAAUAAUUCAGGGCACAUCUCCUCUUGCUUGUGGAUUCUAUUCGACCUAACGAUGGUGAUGGCUAUGAUGAACCUGAGAUUGUUGAACCAGCAUUGAAUUUUUUAAUAAAGCUUGUGUGCCAUCCUUCAUCAAUAAGCAAUAGGCCAAGUCUCAUGCAAGGUCAGCAAUACGGAAAUCAAUCUGCUAUAAACUCCAGGGACAGAAAUUCAGAGAGGAAUUUCCUAGAGCGUGGUCCAAAUCAGAAUGAAUCAAGGGUUCGAACUGGGGAACUGACACCAUCAUCUGUUGGUAACACUUCAUCGUCACAGGCAUCUGCUUCAUUAGUUGCUUCUGGUUUAGUUGGUGAUCGCAGGAUUUCGUGCUUGGCUUGGUGCUCAGCUUGAACAAGGAUAUCGUCAAGCUAGAGAAGCUGUUCGUGUAAAGCAUGCUUCUUCAGCUUCUCCAACCUCGAAUGGUGACAUCCCCUGCAGCUCUUGAUUGUCUUCGUGCUCUUACAUGCCGAGUGCUUUUAGGUUGAUGCUAUUGCAAUAUUGACCGCACUUCAGGUUAAGAAAAGUUAUCAGAGCUCAUCCGAGUGGGAGCCAAACUGCCAGUGGUGACCAAAAUAGGUAGCAGGCCGAAUUAACUCAAGUGAGCUUAUUGGUAUGCGCUCUAAUUUCUUCAUGACAAGCAUCAUUAGAUCAGACAGUCGGUGAUAACAUUUAAUGCCAGUGGUGAUGUUAUAUAUGCAAUCCUCGGGCGAAAUCUAGAGGAUGUCACUUCAGCAUUCAAUGCACGCCGUGUGAAGCACCCUCUCUUUUCUGCUUUUUGCAUUGUGGAUGCUGUCAACUAUUCGGAUAUUACAAAAGUUCCCGUGGAUCCAUGGUGUAGUUGCUAAAUUAUUCCUAGACUCUCUCCAGCAGAAAAAAAGAAGACAAAUAUAUUACUUACAGACUCAUGAUUUACGAAUAUCCUCUACAUGUGGAUGCAGCAGCAAAUUGUGAAGUUAUAUCACUUUGCAUUGAAUAGAAUUGGUGCAUGCGAGUGUGGUCCGAAUCAGAUUGAAUCAAGGGACCGAACUGGGGAACUGAUGCCAUCUUCUGUUGGUCAUCAUCACAGGCAUCUGCUAGUUGCUUCUGGUUUUUAGUUGGAGAUUUAGGUGCUCGAGCAGGUUGUGCUGGGCUGGUUCGAAUGGUGACAUCCCCUGCAGCUCUUGAUUGUCUUCGUGCUCUUACAUGCCGAGUACUUUAGCAGCUAGUGAUGCAGCGACUCCCACUUUGAGACCAUUGAAAGAGGAGCAGCCAUUGCUGCUGCUACUCCAGUUUCUUAUCAUUCUAGGGCUUAUCCAUGAGCACCUUUAAUUAUCUGGAUUAGGUUAUCACCAAUGCCAUCCUUGGCUGCUCCAUCAUCUUUAGCACAACACGCAUCUGAGCAGGAGUUGUCAUCAGUACAAAUGCAAUGGCCAUUCCAGCUUGAGAAGCUUAUCCAUGAGCAUCUGGAUUAGGUGAGACUGCAUCCUUGCUAAGUUAUCACCAUUGGCUGCUCCAUCAUCUUUAGCACAACACGCAUCUGGGCAGGAGUUGUCAUCAAUACAAAUGCAAUGGCCAUCUGAAUGAGCAACUUGUGGAUUCUUGUUGGAUAGACCAAACGUAUUCCAGCUUGAGAAGUGAGCCUUGCACUUUGUCCUCAAAGAAGAAACCAAGAUUGUUGAACCAGCGUUGAAUUUGUGCCGAAUAAGCAAUAAGCCAAGUCUAAUGCAAGGUCAGCAAGCUUCUUCUACUCAAGCUGGAAAUCAAUCUGCUAUAAACUCCAGGGACAGAAAUUCAGAGAGGAAUGUCCCAGAGCGUGGUCCAAAUCAGAAUGAAUCAAGGGAUCAAACUGGGGAACUGACACCUAUGCCAUGAUCUGUUGGUAACACUUCAUCAUCACAGGUAACACUUCAUCAUCACAGGCAUCUGCUUCAUUAGUUGCUUCUGGUUUAGUUGGAGAUCGCAGGAUCUCGUGCUUGGACAAGGAUAUCGUCAAGCUAGAGAAGCUGUUCGUUCCAGGCAUGUUAUAAUGGUUCUUCUUCCGCUUCUCCAACCUCGAAUGGUGACAUCCCCUGCAGCUCUUGAUUGUCUUCGUGCUCUUACAUGCCCGAGUGCUUUUAGGUUGAUGCUAUUGCACAUAUAUUGACCGAACUUCAGGUGGAUUCAAACAUAUACUGAAAGCGAGGAAGACGAUGAUGAUAAUGACAGUGAGGUUCUUGAAUCUUUCAGCAGUGACUAUCUUCUGUGAUCGAUCCUUCUUAAAGCUGCAAUCCUACAGCUGAAGAUGCUCACACUUUUACGAUAAACCUCAUGAGAAUUGGUUGAAUCAAGAACGACAUCGUGAGGGGCAAGGCUAAUAAACCAAACCCGAUGAAAAUUGGUAUGUAACUUUCUUUCAUUUUGUUGAGAUUAAAUUGAUGCCUGAUAUCAAAUUGAUGUAUUUUCACUCUGGUGAGGUUGAAUCAAGAACAAUCAUGAUAAGAAUUGGUACGUAACUUUCUUUUAUUUUGUUGAAACUCAAUAGUAUUAUAAUUUUUUCAUUUUGAUUGGAUCAAACUGAUGUGUUUUCUCUCUAUUGAGGUUGAAUCAAGAACAUAUCGUGAGUAGAGGGAGGGAUUAGAGGCCAAAUCCGACAAGAAUUGGUUGAAUCAAGAACAACAUUGUGAUGUUAAAUGGGCAAGGCAUACGGACCAAUCAUGACAAGAAUUGGUAUGUAACUUUCUUUUAUUUUGUUGAGACUCAAUAAUAUCAUAAUUUUUUCAUUUUUUUGGGAUUAAGCUGAUGUGUUUUCUUUUUAUCGAGGUUGAAUCAAGAACAACAUCAUGAGUAGAGGGAAAGAUUAGAGGCCAAAUCCGACAAGAAUUGGUUGAAUCAAGAACAAAAUUGUGAUGUUAAAAGGGCAAGUCAUACAGACCAAUUAUGAUAAGAAUUGGUUGAAUCAAGAACAACAUUUGUGAUGUUAAAGGGGCAAGGCAUACGGACAAAUCAUGAUAAGAAUCGUUGAAUCAAGAACAACAUCGUGAGUAGAGGAAAGGAUUAGAAGCCAAAUCCGACAAGAAUUGGUACGUAAUUUUCUUUCUUUUUGUUGGGAUCAUUAGUACACUUGACAUCAACACAUACAAUAAGUACACAACUAAUCUUAUUACCCAAUUAAGAAGCACACAAUUAAAAUAAAGACACGACAACCACAAAUAUAAACAAGCACAUAUUCCAAACAGAUAUGCAACCUUUAAGGCACAAGCCUCCAACAAAAAGCAAUAAUAUAGUUUGAAUAAAAAAUACAAAAUUUUACUUCUACCGUAUCUACCCCAAAUGAUAAUCAAACAUGUAACUAAAACAAAAUUACAUACAUCGGGUACAACUACCCCAAUAGAUAAGACAUGCACAAUUAUAAAAGAUAUACAAUAUUUUGAGUAUACUUGCCGUCAAAAUAUACAAUACAAGCUUUCAAGGCACUCUAAUUAAUAUACAUUAAAAUAAAUACGCGUCACCACAAAUAUAAAAAACUACACAUUCCAAACAAAUACAUGCCCCCAACAAAAAGCAAACAAAUAGUUCAAAUAAAAAUUCAAAUAUUUACUUUUACCGUGUCUACGUGCAAAUAAUAUCAGACACAUAAUUAAAACAAAAAUACAAACUUCGGAUAGAGCUACCGUCAUUGGAUAAGACAUGCACAAUCAUAAAAGAUGUACAAUAUUUUGAUUACACUUAGCCCUUACCCAAUCUUAUUACAUGCUUUCAAGGACUCCAAGUAAUAAACGUACAAUUAUAAUAAAUACGCAACAACCACAAAAAAAUCACAAUAAUAAAAGAUAAAUAGAUAAGACAUGCACAAUCAUAUAAAGGUGUACAAUAAAAAAUAAAUACCCAACAACCACAAAUAUAAAAAAUUCAAACAAAUAUGCAAUCUAAAAAAAAAAUCAUCCACAUAGUUCGAAUAAAAAUGAAAAGUUUUAUUUUUACUGUGUUUACUCCAAACAAUAUCAAACACAUAAUUAAAACAAAAAUAAAAGUAUUGCGUGAGUCUACCCCAACAUAUAAGGCAUGUAUAAUCACAAAAGAUGUGCAAUGAUUUACACACAUUUAAAAUAAAUAUGCAACAAUAACCACAAAUACAAAAAAUUAUAUAUCCAACCUUUAGGUCACAUAGUCUAACAAAAAUACAAACUUUUAUUGAUAUCAAACACGUAAUUAAAGAAAAAUCACAAAUAUUGGAUACAUAUAUCACACAAUUAAAAUAAAUACACAAAAAUACAAAUUCGAAACAAAUGCGCCCAACAAAAGCAACCACCAUAGUCCGAAAAAAGACGUAAAUUUUUAGUGACCCUGUCUAUCCAUAUUAGACAUGAAUUAAAACAAAAUAGAAACUUUGAUAAGGCAUGCAUAAUCAUAAAAGAUAUUCAAUUUUUUAGUACACUUUCCCUCAAAACAUACCAUUAUAACACAAAUAAUGUUGUUACAUGCUUUCGAACGCAUACUAAGAUAUAUAUAUAUAUAUAUAUGCAAACAAUUAAAACAUCUAUAAGCAUUUGUGGCACACUGGCCCUCAACAAAUAAUACACAGUGUGAGAACAUCUCACAUAAAUUUGAAAAUGUGUGACAUCUAGUACCGGAAAGAAACUAGAAUAAGAUAUAAAAAAAUAAUGAUAACCUAUGCCAAACAGACAAAAUAAAACAGUGUUGGAAUCUACUACUUUUUUUGACCAACAAAAUGUAUGCAUAUGCUCGUAUUGUAAAACGAAAAACAGACACACGAAGCACAUUUUCAACAUGCUUAACCAAAAAUUGUGAGCAUCUACUCGCACACACACCCACAAAAAAAAAAAAAAAUGCCAUUAAAUACCAAAUUCACCUAAAUUAUUGUUGUCGAAAUUGGCCUCUAAAUCUUGCUGCUCUAACCCCACGUGUUAUCCCUCUAACCUUAUAAUGUUAUUCUUGAUUCAACCACAAUAGAAACACGCCAAUUUGAUCCCCAAAAAAAUAAAAAAAUUAUAAUACUAUUGAACAUCAAUUUAGGGUCUGUUUGGUUUGAGAAUAAUAGAGGGGAAGGGAGGGGAGGGGAUGGGAGGGGAGAAAAAAAAUAUAUAAUUAUCUAGUUUGGUUCUAUUUUUUAAAGGGGAAAGAGAGGGGAAAAUAUAUAAAAUGAAUUUAUUUUGAUUUUCUUCAAAAUUGGGGCAAUUUGGAGUGAAGAAUAUAUAUAUAUAUUUAAUUUAUAGAUUAUUUUAUCUGUAUUUAAUUAUACAUAAAUUAUAUUAUACGAAUUUUAUAGUUAAAAAUUAGUUAUGAUAUUUUUAAAUUAUAUAAUGCAAUUAAAUUAUAAAAUAAUUUUUUAUAUAAAUCAAAUUAAAUUAUUUUUAAUUUAAUCAUUUAAUUAAACCGUCAAGAGUGAGGUUUUAAUUAACAAAAUAAACUUAUAUCUAUUAUAUUUAUUUAAUACUAAACGAUAUUUAUCUUAUAAUUUAUUCUAGAUAAAUAAAUUUAUGUUAGAAUGAUUAUUUUUUAUUAAAAUUAUUCAAUUUUCUUAUAUAUAAUUUUAUUUUACUUUCUGUUUUAUUUACCUUCGGUCACAAUAACAAAUCACACCUAAUGAUGGUAGAUACAAAACCUGCAUAAAUAUUAGUUAAUCCAAAGAUUUAAUUCACACCAAAACUAUCUUACAAAUCCAUAAUUGGAAAUUUCAAUUCAACCUUAAACUAAAAUAAGAGUUUGGCCACUAAACAUAAUUAGAAUCAAAAGCAAAGACUACAAAUUUUACAGUCGUUCUUGUUCCAGCCGUCCGUGGCGUCCUCUUCUCUCCGAGAUGAAUUCCUUUUGAUUUCUUGAUUUUUAUUGUUUAAACCGUGCACCCUCAAAAUUGGUUUUGCAAAUUUUUUUAUUUUUUUCCACAAAAUUUUCUUUGGUGCAAAUUUUCACAAAUCUUUACGACCUUGCGAACAAAUCAUAGUGACCAAGUAAAUACAUCCCAAAUGGAACACCGAUGAUUGAACUAGUAAAAUCUAUCAUGAAAAAUUAUCCAUUUCAAACAACAUUAAACACUUGCAUAUAUAGAGCUAAUUAAUGUUAGUAGCAGAAGAAUGGAAUUGAACCAACAAAUUAGUAUGCAAGAUUUGAUGACCUGGAUGAUCACGAUGAAGAUGAUCAUAAUGGUGACGAUACAAACAAAUCGUAGUUAUGAUUUAGAGGAAUAUAAAAGAUUGAUUGAUUCCCAUGUGAAGUGAUCGACUAGAUCGAGGACUGUCUCAGCUUUAAUUCUUUUUGUUGAAAUUGGAUCAACAUCAUCAAGGGGCCAUGGCUCGAGCAGAGGUUUCAUGUCAGCAAUGUAACCGAAAAAAUUGAAGUUUUCCUUUUCAUUCCGUCCUAGCACAAUAUGGAUUUUUAAGUUUUCUAGCUUUGGCAAUCUUGAAAGAACUCCUCUGGUACAGCUGCGAGAACCCACACCAUACAAUGUUUUGAGGUUUCAUAGGAAGGAUCUAUCGGUACAUGGAUCCGGCAGGUCAAAUCCCGAGCAGUGCAAAUGCCAUAGCUGCUUCAAAUUCCAGAUCUCCACAGGUAGAUAAGAAGCACCCUCCAAGGAUUUUAUAUUUACAUGUCGAUCCAUGAUUAAAACUUGAAGCUUUUGAAGUUUUGAUAUGGAGUUUGGGAGUUCUCCAUCAUAUGUGAUGGCAAGGUACUUCAACCGAACUAGCUUCAGUGUUUCGUAGGGGCGUGUGUAGAAGCGGAUACUAAGUGCAUUUAAUAUCUUCAACAUUGUAAAGCUUAAGUGUAUCCAGAUAGGAUAUGGAUGAUACGGACCUAAGUGUUGCGCAGAAGACGGCCAAUGGAAACAAUAGCUAGAGGAAGCCCUUCGCAGUCCUUGUCAAUCUUCUUCCUGAUUUCCUCAAGUUGGAAGCUGCAAGAUUCUUCAGGACUUGUGAACACCAUCCCACGACCAUCGUCUGUAAUCUUCUCUUCUUUCAUGUUGUGUACCUCCAAGGAGAACUUUUCGAGCAAGGAAAUGAGCUGUCGAAGAAGAUCCAUCAAUUCGGGGGAGAGUGUGUUGGGAUUUUAAACUUCAUAUGAUGGCUGUAAGAAAUAUUCCAUCGGAUCUGAAUCUUCAUCUACUUCAUCUUCAUCUUUAUUAUCUGAUGCAGCUGGUGGUUGUAAGAAAGGUUUGAUCAGAUCUGAAAAUUCUUCUGCUAAGUCUUCGAUUUGCUGUUCCAACAAGGCAUCCGCCCUCAGCUUCCUGCCCUGCAUUUCAUGUAAUUUCUGAGAUAUUUUUUUGCAUAUAGCUCGUCAUAGAGGUAUUUUAUUACUGGACAACCCUUGGGUUCUGUUUCAAGUAAGCUGCUUAGAUUAUCCAUGGCCGAUUGAAAAGCAACAUAAGCCAAAGGAGAAGAGCAUGCUGUGGUGGGGCUGAGCCUGUCUCUGUUUGUCGGAAAGUGACAUAACAUAACAUUGCAUAGCAUAGAUGUUAAUCUUAUAUAUUUCAAUAAUUAACCUUUCAGUUUUUAAUUUUA
This is a long non-coding RNA of Andrographis paniculata, 22524 nucleotides long. RefSeq lists it as uncharacterized. NCBI's taxonomy places the organism in Eukaryota, Viridiplantae, Streptophyta, Magnoliopsida, Lamiales, Acanthaceae. The transcript has 66 exons. The record is from RefSeq and is a predicted model, not a curated record.